CAGCAGUGGGGAAUAUUGCACAAUGGGGGGAACCCUGAUGCAGCCAUGCCGCGUGAAUGAAGAAGGCCUUCGGGUUGUAAAGUUCUUUCGGUGAUGAGGAAGGUGUUUGUUUUAAUAGGACAAGCAAUUGACGUUAGUCACAGAAGAAGCACCGGCUAACUCCGUGCCAGCAGCCGCGGUAAUACGGAGGGUGCGAGCGUUAAUCGGAAUAACUGGGCGUAAAGGGCACGCAGGCGGUGACUUAAGUGAGAUGUGAAAGCCCCGAGCUUAACUUGGGAAUUGCAUUUCAUACUGGGUCGCUAGAGUACUUUAGGGAGGGGUAGAAUUCCACGUGUAGCGGUGAAAUGCGUAGAGAUGUGGAGGAAUACCGAAGGCGAAGGCAGCCCCUUGGGAAUGUACUGACGCUCAUGUGCGAAAGCGUGGGGAGCAAACAGGAUUAGA
RNAcentral lists this ribosomal RNA (441 nucleotides) under uncultured Actinobacillus sp. RNAcentral's name for it is "bacterial SSU rRNA". It matches the Rfam family "Bacterial small subunit ribosomal RNA", at positions 349 to 782 of the family's 1533-position model. The record is from RNAcentral. Lineage: Bacteria; Pseudomonadati; Pseudomonadota; Gammaproteobacteria; Pasteurellales; Pasteurellaceae.